RNAcentral lists this ribosomal RNA (253 nucleotides) under uncultured bacterium. RNAcentral describes it as "partial 16S ribosomal RNA". It matches the Rfam family "Bacterial small subunit ribosomal RNA", at positions 524 to 776 of the family's 1533-position model. The record is from RNAcentral.
UACGAAGGGGGCUAGCGUUGUUCGGAAUUACUGGGCGUAAAGCGCACGUAGGCGGACUGAUAAGUCAGGGGUGAAAUCCCGGGGCUCAACCCCGGAACUGCCUUUGAUACUGUCAGUCUCGAGUUCGAGAGAGGUGAGUGGAAUUCCGAGUGUAGAGGUGAAAUUCGUAGAUAUUCGGAGGAACACCAGUGGCGAAGGCGGCUCACUGGCUCGAUACUGACGCUGAGGUGCGAAAGCGUGGGGAGCAAACAGG